This 88-nucleotide transfer RNA is filed under the name Bacillota bacterium. Its description in RNAcentral is "Firmicutes bacterium (anaerobic digester metagenome) tRNA-Leu". It matches the Rfam family "tRNA". Rfam says of the family: Transfer RNA (tRNA) molecules are approximately 80 nucleotides in length. Their secondary structure includes four short double-helical elements and three loops (D, anti-codon, and T loops). Further hydrogen bonds mediate the characteristic L-shaped molecular structure. tRNAs have two regions of fundamental functional importance: the anti-codon, which is responsible for specific mRNA codon recognition, and the 3' end, to which the tRNAs corresponding amino acid is attached (by aminoacyl-tRNA synthetases). tRNAs cope with the degeneracy of the genetic code in two manners: having more than one tRNA (with a specific anti-codon) for a particular amino acid; and 'wobble' base-pairing, i.e. permitting non-standard base-pairing at the 3rd anti-codon position. The record is from RNAcentral. Lineage: Bacteria; Bacillati; Bacillota. RNAcentral also lists the same sequence under 1 other name.
GCCGAAGUGGUGGAACUGGCAGACGCGCGCGACUCAAAAUCGCGUGGGGUAGCCCCCCGUGAGGGUUCGAGUCCCUCCUUCGGCACCA